GAUGAAGAACGCAGCAAAAUGCGAUAAGUAAUGUGAAUUGCAGAAUUCAGUGAAUCAUCGAAUCUUUGAACGCACAUUGCGCCCGCCAGUAUUCUGGCGGGCAUGCCUGUUCGAGCGUCAUUUCAACCCUCAAGCACAGCUUGGUGUUGGGACUCGCGUUAAUUCGCGUUCCCCAAAUUGAUUGGCGGUCACGUCGAGCUUCCAUAGCGUAGUAGUAAAACCCUCGUUACUGGUAAUCGUCGUGGCCACGCCGUUAAACCCCAACUUCUGAAUGUUGACCUCGGAUCAGGUAGGAAUACCCGCUGAACUUAAGCAUAUCAAUAAGCGGAGGA
This 332-nucleotide unclassified non-coding RNA is filed under the name soil metagenome. RNAcentral's name for it is "partial contains 5.8S ribosomal RNA, internal transcribed spacer 2, and large subunit ribosomal RNA". The stretch from base 1 to 120 matches the Rfam family "5.8S ribosomal RNA", at positions 35 to 154 of the family's 154-position model. The record is from RNAcentral.